GAUGAACGCUGGCGGCGUGCCUAAUACAUGCAAGUCGAGCGAACAGACGAGGAGCUUGCUCCUCUGACGUUAGCGGCGGACGGGUGAGUAACACGUGGAUAACCUACCUAUAAGACUGGGAUAACUUCGGGAAACCGGAGCUAAUACCGGAUAAUAUAUUGAACCGCAUGGUUCAAUAGUGAAAGACGGUUUUGCUGUCACUUAUAGAUGGAUCCGCGCCGCAUUAGCUAGUUGGUAAGGUAACGGCUUACCAAGGCAACGAUGCGUAGCCGACCUGAGAGGGUGACCGGAUCUAGUGUAAGAGACAGGCGGACGAGCUUCCUAAGGGCGGCAGGGAUAGGGACUCAGGAGCCAAGGGCGAAAGAGGGAGGGGGGAACGUGGCGAGGGAGCUGAAGGGCUGCCGAUGGUAAGACGCUGCUAUUGGGGCAGAACAGAUGUGUCAGGAACCACGCCCGUAUUGACGGUCCCAGCUCAGAAGGCAACGGCUCAGUACGUG
This 497-nucleotide ribosomal RNA is filed under the name uncultured bacterium. RNAcentral's name for it is "partial 16S ribosomal RNA". It matches the Rfam family "Bacterial small subunit ribosomal RNA", at positions 28 to 507 of the family's 1533-position model. The record is from RNAcentral.